GUGCUUAACACAUGCAAGUCGAACGAAGCGCUUGGAUGGAAUUCUUUGGAAGGAAGCUCAAGUGACUGAGUGGCGGACGGGUGAGUAACGCGUGGGUAACCUGCCUCAUACAGGGGGAUAACAGUUAGAAAUGACUGCUAAUACCGCAUAAGCACACGUGAUCGCAUGAUCGAGUGUGAAAAACUCCGGUGGUAUGAGAUGGACCCGCGUCUGAUUAGCUAGUUGGUGGGGUAAUGGCCCACCAAGGCGACGAUCAGUAGCCGGCCUGAGAGGGUGAACGGCCACAUUGGGAUUGAGACACGGCCCAAACUCCUACGGGAGGCAGCAGUGGGGAAUAUUGCACAAUGGGGGAAACCCUGAUGCAGCGACGCCGCGUGAAGGAUGAAGUAUUUCGGUAUGUAAACUUCUAUCAGCAGGGAAGAAAAUGACGGUACCUGACUAAGAAGCCCCGGCUAACUACGUGCCAGCAGCCGCGGUAAUACGUAGGGGGCAAGCGUUAUCCGGAUUUACUGGGUAUAAAGGGAGCGUAGACGGCAGUGCAAGUCUGAAGUGAAAGCCCGGGGCUCAACCCCGGGACUGCUUUGGAAACUGUGCAGCUAGAGUGUCGGAGAGGCAAGCGGAAUUCCUAGUGUAGCGGUGAAAUGCGUAGAUAUUAGGAGGAACACCAGUGGCGAAG
RNAcentral lists this ribosomal RNA (676 nucleotides) under uncultured Lachnospiraceae bacterium. RNAcentral describes it as "bacterial SSU rRNA". It matches the Rfam family "Bacterial small subunit ribosomal RNA", at positions 44 to 720 of the family's 1533-position model. Lineage: Bacteria; Bacillati; Bacillota; Clostridia; Lachnospirales; Lachnospiraceae. The record is from RNAcentral.